This is a non-coding RNA of Zonotrichia albicollis (white-throated sparrow), 2273 nucleotides long. Lineage: Eukaryota; Metazoa; Chordata; Aves; Passeriformes; Passerellidae. The record is from RefSeq and is a predicted model, not a curated record.
GGAGGGCUCCUGGUUCCUUUCCUGGGGAUGAGGUGCCUCAUCCCUGGGUUUGCAGUCAAAGCCUUGGCUGGGGAAGCUGGGUGCUGUCCUCUGAGGCACCAAGGAGCUGCUGAUUGUUGUCCCCUCCAUUUUUUCUUCUGACUCCAGAACUUGACUGCCUUUUAUCUGCCAGAAACCAGCACCAACAUCAGACAGAAAGGGUGUGCUGGACUUGUGGAGACCUCCCUGUGCAGAGAGGAAGCCUUGCCAGCACCUGGCUGUCCCAAGCAUCCAUUUACAGACCUGAAAUCCCAGUUUAAUUCCAUGAGGAGUCUCAAGGCUGUGGAUUCUCCAGAAGAACCUAUUUCUUCUACAACCAGAGGCUGAACAAGAGUGAACCAUUAUAGAAGUUUAAAUAAACCCCAUAAGGUCAUCUGCUGCUUAAAUCCCUGCUACCAGGUGCCACGCUAUCAGAAGGAUGUCCUUUCUGAACUUCUGACAUGAUUUAGCAGGCACAGACCAGUGUGGUCGGUGAAGUCACAUCCUGGAGUGUCAUGUUGUGCGCCACAACCACGUGCUGCCAGGCCAAGAAGCCACCAAUGGGGUUCUCCAUCCAUCCCCCCUGGUGUCAGGCCCUCAAAGGACAGGCUGCAGUGCCAGAAUUGCUGCCUGGACACCUUCUCUAUGGACCCAGGACCUAAUGCUUUUUCAGUCCACACUGAAUGGAAAACUGUCAGGAAAGGGAAAGGAUUCUCAUUUCUUGAUUAAAAAAAAUAAUAGAAAAAGACAAAGAUAUUCAGAUCCAUUGUUCUCCUCUUCUCAGUGAUUCUCAGGUGACAGCAGAAAGUGAAGAUCCCUGAACCGGCAUUUCACAAUAGCAGUGCUCAGACAAGACUAAGCUCUAUGUGACCAAAAGGCAGCGGCACAGAGUCCAGAGGGCCUUCAUCCCUGAAGCUGAAUGCUGUGGUUCAGCAUGAAAUGAUUGCUGCACUGGAUUUCAGAACUGCAGGCAGUCCCUGUUACUUCACAGCAUGGAAACCAAGUGGGAAAGUAAUCUAUGCAAAUUACAAGCUUUUCUGCUUGAAUCACGUUCCCUUCACUCACAGUAAUGAGUCACUUGGCAUAAAGUGGACUGUUACUAUGAAUGGAGAAAGCACAUCAGGGCUCUGCUUCUCAAGAAUUAUUUCCACUUGCUGCAUCUCAUUUUGGCCUGGAACCACGAGGGGCUUCAGCUGCCAUGCAGCCCCUGAGUCCUGCUGCUGUUUCCUGUGACAGACACCCAGUGCAUGCACCAGUGAGUGCUGCUGCCAGCUGGGCUGCCCUGUGGGGCUCCUCUGGGGGCUGAGGCUCAGAGGCUGAUAUCAUUGUGCUGGAACCAGGCUUUGUGGCGACAUGCUUCUCCCUCCCUCUGGCAUCCAGCUCACCCUGGCCACAUGUGCAACCCAGGCCACGACCUCGGCCUUGGCUGGGCUCUGAUGGCCCAUUUAACAGUCACAGGCUGGAGCGGGAGCUGCUGCUGUGCUAUUUUUAACCAGCUGGACAGUUAAAUAAUUCAGAGGCAGACACACACAGAGUGGUCUGGGCUGUGCCUGGGAUCUGGGAGGGGAGAAGAGCAUUGUACCCACCCUGCUGGGCUUGCUUGACCUUAUCAAGUAUGGGUUCUCAGGCUCUUUAACACAAACACAAAACAAAAACCGAACUUUCAGAAGUGAAAUCCCUGCCUGGAUCACACUUAGCUGCAAGGCAAGAACUGUUCAGUAUUUCCCUGCUUUCUAAUGCUACAGAACUCUUUUUCCAUUACAAACUUAUGGUGAGUAGAGUCCAGAAUGGCAAGUGUCAAAAUUUCUGGGGGAGAAAAGAAUUGCUUUUAAGAAAUCUCUUUUGAAACAGGAUGUCCUAUGUAUAGCUACUCCCCCUGAUUUUGGACUAAGAAGAGAUCUGCAAAAAAAUAUUUUCUCCCAUCUCUCCAGCCCAGUUCCCCACCAAGCUGUCCUGUGAAGUGCUCCACAGCUCAGUGGAAAGCUGACCCUCUCAGGGAUGCCAGGGAGAGCACAAGACCUGCCAGCAAACCUGCUCCACCACAGAAUUCCCACAAGGUCAUUGCCUCCUUUGGGCAUCCUCCUGCUCCAGUGUGGGGUCUUCCCCAGGCUACAGGUGAGCAUCUGCUCCAUCAUGGACCUUUAUGGGCUGCAUGUGAACAGCCUGCCUCACCAUGGUCAUCAUUCAUUAUGGGAUGCAAAGGAAUUUCUACUCCGGUGCCUGGAGCACCUCCUCCCCCUUCACUGACCUUGAUA